CCUACGGGGGGCUGCAGUAGGGAAUAUUGCUCAAUGGGGGAAACCCUGAAGCAGCAACGCCGCGUGGAGGAUGAAGGUUUUAGGAUUGUAAACUCCUUUUGUUAGAGAAGAUUUAACGGUAUCUAACGAAUAAGCACCGGCUAAAUCCGUGCCAGCAGCCGCGGUAAUACGGAGGGUGCAAGCGUUACUCGGAAUCACUGGGCGUAAAGAGUGCGUAGGCGGGGUAAUAAGUCAGAUGUGAAAUCCUGUGGCUUAACUACAGAACUGCAUUUGCAACUGUUUGGCUGGAGUGUGGGCGAGGUAGGUGGAAUUCUUGGUGUAGGGGUGAAAUGCGUAGAGAUCAAGAGGAAUACUGAUUGCGAAGGCGACCUGCUGGAACAUUACUGACGCUGAUGCACGAAAGCGUGGGGAGCAAACAGGAUUAGAUACCCGAGUAGUC
This 439-nucleotide ribosomal RNA is filed under the name uncultured bacterium. RNAcentral describes it as "partial 16S ribosomal RNA". It matches the Rfam family "Bacterial small subunit ribosomal RNA", at positions 338 to 795 of the family's 1533-position model. The record is from RNAcentral.